This 509-nucleotide ribosomal RNA is filed under the name uncultured bacterium. RNAcentral describes it as "partial 16S ribosomal RNA". The stretch from base 12 to 374 matches the Rfam family "Bacterial small subunit ribosomal RNA", at positions 39 to 400 of the family's 1533-position model. The record is from RNAcentral.
GACGAACGCUGGCGGCGUGCUUAACACAUGCAAGUCGAACGGAAAGGCCCUGCUUUUGUGGGGUGCUCGAGUGGCGAACGGGUGAGUAACACGUGAGUAACCUGCCCUUGACUUUGGGAUAACUUCAGGAAACUGGGGCUAAUACCGGAUAGGAGCUCCUGCUGCAUGGUGGGGGUUGGAAAGUUUCGGCGGUUGGGGAUGGACUCGCGGCUUAUCAGCUUGUUGGUGGGGUAGUGGCUUACCAAGGCUUUGACGGGUAGCCGGCCUGAGAGGGUGACCGGCUGCAUGGGACAUGGGAAGCGGCGCAGGGGCAGACGGGGGGGUGGGGUGGGAAAGAGUGCACGACGGGGGGACGGCAGGUGAGGGAACGCCGCGUGCGGGACCACGGGCGUCAGGUUUGACACGGCUGCGCGGGGUGGGGAGGGGUGAGGGAAGGAAAGGGGCAGAGAGCCACCGGCGGACGCGGUGACAGCGGCCAAUGCAGAAGGGGGAAGGGCACCCGCCGGACC